GCGGGUGUAAUUCAGCGGUAGAAUGUCACUUUUCCAAAGUGAACGUCAGGGGUUCAACUCCCCUCACCCGCUCCA
This 75-nucleotide transfer RNA is filed under the name Candidatus Daviesbacteria bacterium. RNAcentral's name for it is "tRNA-Gly". It matches the Rfam family "tRNA". Rfam says of the family: Transfer RNA (tRNA) molecules are approximately 80 nucleotides in length. Their secondary structure includes four short double-helical elements and three loops (D, anti-codon, and T loops). Lineage: Bacteria; Candidatus Daviesiibacteriota. The record is from RNAcentral.